Long non-coding RNA from Cottoperca gobio, 4604 nucleotides. Ensembl annotates it as schwannomin-interacting protein 1-like. NCBI's taxonomy places the organism in Eukaryota, Metazoa, Chordata, Actinopteri, Perciformes, Bovichtidae. The record is from Ensembl.
GCUAGCUACGUUAAAACUAUCAAGAAGGCUUUUAUUUUGAAGGGACUGACAGGAUAUCCCAGAAUUGAAUUUCCAAUUGUGAACUUUUUCUUGCGUGAAAUUCCUCAAGUUUGUGUCUUUUGUUUGUAUGUUUGGACCACGAAUGAUUGGAUAGCUGGCAUGAAAAUAGCCCAAAAACUGAAAGCCGCCAUUACGCAAUGUAAGUAAGUGUGCAGACUGAGACGAAUGAGAUGUGAAUGGCUCUUGUGGACAUAUUUCUCAGCUUCUUUUGGCUAUUUUGAGUAAGAAGGCAGAGGCAGAGUGAAACUCCUGAUGGAAAGGAAGCGAAGGGAAGAUAACUAGGAGGAGUUGAAGAAGGAGCGGAGCUAACUAGCUGUUAUGUGGCAAAACUUUCUUCUACUUCUCUGACAACGAGAGCAGUAGAGCUGUGUUUAUAUAUUGGAGAAAGUGAGAUGGAGGGAGAGAAAGAGAGACAGAGGCAGCAGGGAGACGAGAAGGAGAGUAACGAGGCAGAAGACGACAGGAGGAGCGAUGAGGAUGCUGACAAUGACGAGGAAGAGGAGGAUGAAGAUUCUGAGGGUGCGGCACUGGUCUGGCAGGAAGGUUACGGCGAGGACAAUCUGGGCCUUCCCAUCAUGCACUGGGAAGCGCUGAGCCUGCGUAUCGCUGAGCUGGAGAAGCAGGAGGAGGAGAAUAAGGAGAAGAGGGCAAAGAGUGGAGUUUCUCUGGAGCGAGGCAGAGCUCCGGUGAGCUGGGCGGAGGAGAGAGGGAGGAGAGCAGAGAGCUGGGAGGACGGAGACGACGCCUGCAACAGCCACGUGCUGGCACUCACCUCCCGCCUGCAGACCCAGAUGAAUCUUCAGCUCUGCUUCAUCAACAACAGUGAAAGUGAGGAGGAGGACGACGAGAAGGAGGGAGAGAUGAGCAAGAAAGAAAACAGCAACACAUGGAGAGGGACUGUUCAGGUCCACAAGAACCCUCAGCCUGCUGCCAAGCUGGAGAAACCAAAAUCCAGAGGCUUCAGGAACACCCUGAGAAACCUACGAGACCGACUGAGAACAGACCACAAAGCACUGGCUGCAGCUCGUAGUGAUCCUGUAGUCCAGAGAAGACAUGUGGAGCGCAGUGAUUUACAAAACUUCAGUACGAAGGACCUGAAUGCUCUUUGUACGUCUCUCAGCCAGACAAUACAAGACCUGAGCUCCGACCUGGUGGGUCGCCUGCAGGUUCGAGACCAGCUGAGGACGGAGCAGGACGCCAUGCUGCUGGAGGUUCAGGAUCUGACGUCGCUGUGAACCCUGCCUAUCGCUCCCUGCCGACGUUCACCUGUCGAGCAGUCGGGCGCGGUUAUAUCCAACAACCUUCUGAUCGAGUGUCGCAGUCUGUGAACAUUGUUGGGAAUCAGACGGUGCCACAGUGACCUCCACAAACAUCUCAGUCAGUCCCUCCUGACCAGCCAAUCACUGUGAAGAGUGUCACUCCCUGAAAGGACUAGGACAUUCAGUUGCUUAGUAUUUUUUAAUAUUAUGGUCUGUGUUGUAUAUUUAUAAGGGAAGUUGUGUCCCACUAAAGGACAGUGUCCAGCCUGGUCACGAUGUCAGAGCCGUAUGUUACGGUCAACAGCUGAAACUGAGUUGGACAACAUCCAGGCAGAGGAUGGUGGCCUUAAAGGAACAAGCUACCAUUUUUUGUGGAGGGGAUUACAUUUCUUUGCCGUCUUACUCUUGAGUCAGAUUAGAAUUUCAGUACCAGUUUAAUCUCUUGGUUUGGAUCGUCCCAUUUCCCAAAUUGGGAAGUCGUUCUUCCGACUUUGGUGCGUUCAUGAGCUUUUAAGUCGUAUCAUGGGAAACAACUUGGACUCUACAAAGACACGUUAUGUGUUUUCCGAGUAGUUGUUCCGACUCGAGGGGAAGUUCACGUGAAUUAUUCCCAGUCGGGAGGUAAUUCUUCCGAUUAUUCUGACAUGCAGCACAAAAGCCCUAUGACGCAAUUUUAAACCGAGCCGGGAAAAAACAUAACCUCCUCGGUGGAGGUAAUAAUGAAAAGGGAAACAUUUAUUUGAAUACAUCUUGCACACCAAAAAUGCACAUCACGUCAGAGUCAAAACUGUACACUGCGUUCUAUUUAAUAAAAUGUUAUUUUUGUGCAUAGGGCAAGGGAAUCUCUUAGAGUUUACAUCAUAAUGGGUUUUUUUCUUUUGUUUACAGAGCCACUUUACGGCUUCUUCUCUCCUGCUCCUCUCACUUGACUUUAACCAUCAGCUGUUUGUUGUUGCAGUGACCCUCAGCCUGUGCUGAUGACUCGCAUCAUUCAAUACUGGAUGUACAAGAUGUGGACGAGAAAUAUGGAAUAACAAACUUCUAAUGUUCUCGGAUAGACACUCAUUUCGAAGCCAAGUUCUGACCGCGCGAAAUUUAUAAAGAAAGAACACCUCGGGAGUUUUUGCUUUUGUUUUUUUCCAGACGGAAUAGAAACGGAACGAUUUAACUACCUGCUUGUUUUCCACACGUACAUUCAGACUCUGUGUGUAAACAUCUCUACUUAGUAGCACAAAAAAGAUGUCAUUUGAGUUGUUGGAAGCUGCAUCUUUUUACUUUAAACAGAUCAAGACAGUUUUCGCCACCUUCCAUUUUAUACUAAGGCAGAAUAAAAAGUGAUCAGACCUAUACUAAUACUAAUUAUCUCAUUUGAGAGUUUGACCAACAUAUUUACCCAAACAUCCGAAUGUUCAUUUUAAGGAUUUGUCUUGUGUUGACGAAAGUUGGCUUCAUUUUCCAGAUCGGCGUCUCUCCCUUAAAGCUGAGACGUUUCUGACCACUAUGGAGCAAUGUUUUGAUCAGCAGGUCCCCGCUUUGCUUCUGUACACAUGGUGGCCUGAUAAACAUCAUUCCAUUGAUCUCAACAUGUACAAAAAUAGCAGGACAAUAUUUCGCUUUUCAAAACAGAAAGUGGACCCGCAUCACUAUCACAACAGAGAUGCCAAUCUGCAAAGGGAGGGUCAACACUGUUUUUAAGACAUUGUUGGGUUUUAAUUAUCUAAAGUUUAAAACUGCAAUAUGAAAAGGACUCCUGUUAAGAAGCUGCUAAAUCUGUCUUUGUUUUCUACUUUGUGUAUGUUUAAUGCGUAUCUUUGUCUAGGCUUGUAGUUAGUAAAGAAUUAAAUGUGAUCUUAUGUAGAACAAAUUUAAGCGCUUUUCUUUGGUAUGUAAGGGAAGAUAUUUUAAUCUGUUUUUAUCCAAUUUAGUCUUGGCACAACGUUUUGAUAUUUUUUCAUUUAACAAACACUACGCAAAAAAUAAUAAUGUUUACCUGUUAUGUUUCUAAUAUCAGUAUGACAAACAUUUCCACAACCGUCAGUACAACAACUGUCAUGUUAUCCUCACCGAUCUGUUCUCUCGUUCAUAAAGUAACUGAAUCCUACUUUACGCACGUUUUUUUGGGUUCGCUGUUAAACUACCAUCAAUAAAAUGCAACACUUCCUGUUUUGAAUUAAAAGCCUUCGAACAGCUCAUUCCUGAUAACCUGUUGGUGUGACACAACUUCAGGAAGUGUUGAACUCCAUUCACAGUAGCUUAACACAAUUUCUUUAAUAGUUGAAGUAGAAGCAAUUAAAAAAACUAUGUUGAUUUUACCAUUGGAACCAUAUAGUUAUUUGUAAUUUAAUUUCAAUUUUUACCUUUAUUAGAAACCGUCAAAUUAUUCUACUAUCGGCUUUUAUUCUGAAUGUACAGAUCAGAUUUAGCAUUUGUACAAGUUACCAAUAGUGUGCACCAUGUGGCUGGUAUUUCAAGUUUCUAACAACACUUGGCACCAAACAGCUGAUUGUCAGCGCAGUGUGUCAGGGCUUCAGUAGAUGUGGAUGGACUUUACAGGACACUUAACUUUAGUGUUUUGGAGAAAGAAGUAAUUGAACAAAUUUUUGUCUCAUACUUUGUCAUUGUUAUAAUUGAACCAUGACUACAGUCUUUCCCUAACCUUAAAGAUGAACUCUCAUGUUAUUAUUGCCCUAACCCACAUGAUUAACAUCAUGGUCAUUUAGAUUAGAUUGAAGUAGAAGCUUAAAUGUAAAUGUUAAACUCCUUGUUUUAUUGACAAACUAAUGUAAAGACAUCUUUAUUUAAAAACAUGAAUCAUUUAGACUUUUUGUUUUUGUCUUUUAUUAAAUCUGUAUUGGAAAAACUAAAUUCACUUGAUUGAUUGCACGCUCCAAUACUGUUUAAUGUUGGUGGUGGUUUGAUUCUUUUUUUUGUGUGUGUGUGUGUGUGUGUGUGUGUGUGUGUGGACAUUAUGUUUCCUCAUAUUACCUAUAUAUUUUAAGGUGAAGACUCAUUUUAAUGUUAAGUUAAGGGUUAAGUAUCUCAAUGUAAUGUGCUCUAGUGAUGGAAACAAGUGUGUGUGUUUUUGUUAAAUUAAUAAAAUUAAGUCUUUUUGCUCAUAAGUUUAGGAUUUUUACGAUUCAUACUGCUGUCUCUGUGAGUAGAUAUAUACUGUUUUUUAGAUUUUGGGGUGAACUUAAGUUAUGUUUGGGAUUUUGUGAUCGCACCAAAAGUACAUAAAUGUCCAUGUAUUUGUGGGGUCCAUUUGUCUGUCUAUGUUCUCAGGGC